GACGAACCGAGCGAACGUUGUUCGGAAUCACUGGGCGUAAAGAGCUCGUAGGCGGCCUGUUGCGUCCGCUGUGAAAUCCCGGGGCUUAACCCCGGGCGUGCAGUGGAUACGGGCUGGCUGGAGGCAGGCAGGGGAGAACGGAAUUCCCGGUGUAGCGGUGAAAUGCGCAGAUAUCGGGAGGAACACCGGUGGCGAAGGCGGUUCUCUGGGCCUGUACUGACGCUGAGGAGCGAAAGCGUGGGGAGCGAACAGG
RNAcentral lists this ribosomal RNA (253 nucleotides) under uncultured bacterium. Its description in RNAcentral is "partial 16S ribosomal RNA". It matches the Rfam family "Bacterial small subunit ribosomal RNA", at positions 524 to 776 of the family's 1533-position model. The record is from RNAcentral.